GGCGAUGCCAGAGAAGACGAUGGCGGCGAUGGCGUGGUCGCGGGAACGGCCGUGGGACAGGAACUGCAAGGGUUUAAAACAUGUCUCUGGGGUCUGGCAGACUUAUAUUUAAAAUCCAGCACUGCCACAUUUGCAGACGUAUCCAGAGUUUCCUCCCUCUGGUGGGUUCACGGUCUCGCUGACUCCAGGAGUGAAUCUGCAGAUCUUCACUAUGAUUGUUACAGUUCAUAAAAGCAAUGCAUCCGGAGUUGUUUGUUCCUCCUGGUGGGUUCCUGGUCUUGCUGACUUCAAGAGUGAAGCUGCAGACCUUCUUGAACCCAGAACAGCAAGAUUUUAGGAAUUAUUGGAAAAGCAUUUUUUGAACUGUGUGUUCAUCUUAAAAGCCAAAUUCUCCCUCCCUUCAAAGGACAGCAUGAGGUAUAAUGAAGAAUCUUGAGGUCCUCCUGGAUUACCAAAGUGGGCCCUAAAUCCAGUGGCAGAAGACACAGACACAGAGAGGAGACCAGGUGAAGACAAAAGAAGAGGCUGGAGUGAUGCAACCAUCAGAGAGUGAAAAUACUCAGUUACCUCCUGGUUUAUGAGGCAAUGAAGUAUUCCAGCACAUAAAUAUUGACGCUGAGACCCAUGGGAUGUAGGAGUGCUGAGCACAUUUGCAAGACAUAAAGACCGAAGGUACCUUGUACAAGUGGAAUCAUUACAAUAUUUAUGCUUCUGUGUCUGGCUUAAUAGCCACAUUUUUUCACAAUAGCUGAAAGAUAUUCAUCAACAGAUGAAUGGAGAAACAAAAAUGUGGAAUACGCACACAAUGGAAUAUUAUUCAAAGGGAAUUAAUUCUGAUACAUGCUGCGCAUGAAUGAAACUAGAACACAAAGCCUCUACUUUCAAGACCAUUGUCUCACCAAAGGGGUCAAGAAAACCAACUCUGAGACUCAAAGGAGAUCAGUGGCCUCAUUGUUUACUCUUUCUUUCACUGGGACAAAUAAAACUUAAUGACUUAAAUUCAGAGAGUGAAGAAAAUCAAUAUGGUGCAUUUUAAUAUUUAUAAAAUAUUAUUUUUAUUGCCUCAAUUUAAUUCAUUAGAUAAGCAGAGUUUUAAAAUGGAUGCUAACGAAACCUCUUACAGAGUGCAUUAAAAAGUGUGUGUGUUGGCCAGGCAUGGUGGCUCAUGCUUGUAAUACCAGCACUUUGGGAGGCUGAGGCAGGAGGAUUGCUGAAGUCCAGGAGUUUAAGACCAGCCUGAGCAACAAAGUGAGACCCCAUCUCUACUUUAAAAAUAAAGUGUGUGUGCCAAGAAAAA
Molecule: long non-coding RNA, 1297 nt
Organism: Homo sapiens (human)
Lineage: Eukaryota; Metazoa; Chordata; Mammalia; Primates; Hominidae
Product: long intergenic non-protein coding RNA 1320
Source: Ensembl